AGAUUGAACGCUGGCGGCAGGCCUAACACAUGCAAGUCGAGCGGUAGCACAGAGAGCUUGCUCUCGGGUGACGAGCGGCGGACGGGUGAGUAAUGUCUGGGAAACUGCCUGAUGGAGGGGGAUAACUACUGGAAACGGUAGCUAAUACCGCAUAACGUCGCAAGACCAAAGUGGGGGACCUUCGGGCCUCAUGCCAUCAGAUGUGCCCAGAUGGGAUUAGCUAGUAGGUGGGGUAAUGGCUCACCUAGGCGACGAUCCCUAGCUGGUCUGAGAGGAUGACCAGCCACACUGGAACUGAGACACGGUCCAGACUCCUACGGGAGGCAGCAGUGGGGAAUAUUGCACAAUGGGCGCAAGCCUGAUGCAGCCAUGCCGCGUGUAUGAAGAAGGCCUUCGGGUUGUAAAGUACUUUCAGCGAGGAGGAAGGCAUUAAGGUUAAUAACCUUAGUGAUUGACGUUACUCGCAGAAGAAGCA
RNAcentral lists this ribosomal RNA (475 nucleotides) under uncultured bacterium. RNAcentral's name for it is "SSU rRNA". It matches the Rfam family "Bacterial small subunit ribosomal RNA", at positions 26 to 492 of the family's 1533-position model. The record is from RNAcentral.